CAAGUGUAUAUCAACCCAUGCUAUAGCUGCUCUCAUUUAGUCCAAGCAAAUAUCCUGAUCCAAAAACAUGUUAAUACAUCCAUUCACAUUUAAACACAGUCAUACACAUAGCAUUAACAAAGUUGACCAGAUUGUACAUAAAUACACUAACUCAUUAUACCUAGGUGGCAUCAACACUCAAAUUCAAGGAUGAAAAUGUUGCCACACAAAUUAAAAGCUUCUAGACCAAAAUGGAUAUCAGUCUUAAGAAGACCCACUCAGACAUGUUAAUUUGUUUUUUACAUAGCAUUCAUAAAAUCCAUUAUUUGAAACAUUUUUUACAAGGCCAGCAGAUUCAUUUUGUAUGUGUCCAGUUUAAACCAGAGAGAUCUUUUUAUUUCACUAUAAAUCCACACUUGCCCACUACCUUUGAAUCAUUACACUACCAGACAGCAACAAUUUGGGUCUUGAGAGGCACUGUUUUAUGGUAAGCACCCCCCCCCCA
This is a non-coding RNA of Biomphalaria pfeifferi, 484 nucleotides long. The record is from the annotation of a GenBank genome assembly. NCBI's taxonomy places the organism in Eukaryota, Metazoa, Mollusca, Gastropoda, Planorbidae.